Ribosomal RNA from Apteryx haastii (Great spotted kiwi), 115 nucleotides. The record is from Ensembl. Lineage: Eukaryota; Metazoa; Chordata; Aves; Apterygiformes; Apterygidae.
UUAUGCAGCUGUACCCCAUUAAAAGGCACUUAUCAAAUUGCAGAAACUAAUCAGGAUUUGGCUGAAUUAGCAGUGAGGUGGGAGACCUCUAGGGAAAACCCAGGUGCUGCAGAUG